UGAGUUUGAUCCUGGCUCAGAGCGAACGCUGGCGGCAGGCUUAACACAUGCAAGUCGAACGGGCACUUCGGUGCUAGUGGCAGACGGGUGAGUAACACGUGGGAACGUACCUUUUGGUUCGGAAUAAUCCAGGGAAACUUGGACUAAUACCGGAUACGCCCUUCGGGGGAAAGAUUUAUCGCCGAAAGAUCGGCCCGCGUCUGAUUAGCUAGUUGGUGAGGUAAAGGCUCACCAAGGCGACGAUCAGUAGCUGGUCUGAGAGGAUGA
This 267-nucleotide ribosomal RNA is filed under the name Allobosea sp. R-46073. RNAcentral describes it as "Bosea sp. R-46073 partial 16S ribosomal RNA". It matches the Rfam family "Bacterial small subunit ribosomal RNA", at positions 1 to 303 of the family's 1533-position model. The record is from RNAcentral. Lineage: Bacteria; Pseudomonadati; Pseudomonadota; Alphaproteobacteria; Hyphomicrobiales; Alloboseaceae.